RNAcentral lists this transfer RNA (83 nucleotides) under Patescibacteria group bacterium. RNAcentral describes it as "tRNA-Leu". It matches the Rfam family "tRNA". From Rfam's summary of the family: Transfer RNA (tRNA) molecules are approximately 80 nucleotides in length. Their secondary structure includes four short double-helical elements and three loops (D, anti-codon, and T loops). The record is from RNAcentral.
GCCGCAGUGGCGGAAUUGGUAGACGCGCAGUGUUCAGAACGCUGUAGGAUUUUCCUGUAAGAGUUCAAAUCUCUUCUGCGGCA